Molecule: ribosomal RNA, 587 nt
Filed under: Dujonia zeylanoides
Lineage: Eukaryota; Fungi; Ascomycota; Pichiomycetes; Serinales; Debaryomycetaceae
Description: [Candida] zeylanoides partial large subunit ribosomal RNA
Rfam family: Eukaryotic large subunit ribosomal RNA
Source: RNAcentral
CAAGGGAUAAGGCUAAAAACGGCGAGUGAAGCGGCAAAAGCUCAAAUUUGAAAUCUAGCACUUUCAGUGUUCGAGUUGUAAUUUGAAGAAGGUAACUUUGGAAUUGGCUCUUGUCUAUGUUCCUUGGAACAGGACGUCACAGAGGGUGAGAAUCCCGUGCGAUGAGAUGUCCAAUUCUAUGUAAAGUGCUUUCGAAGAGUCGAGUUGUUUGGGAAUGCAGCUCUAAGUGGGUGGUAAAUUCCAUCUAAAGCUAAAUAUUGGCGAGAGACCGAUAGCGAACAAGUACAGUGAUGGAAAGAUGAAAAGAACUUUGAAAAGAGAGUGAAAAAGUACGUGAAAUUGUUGAAAGGGAAGGGCUUGAGAUCAGACUUGGUAUUUUGUGUUCCUUAUUCUUUUUGGAUUUGGUUCCUCACAGCUUACCGGGCCAGCAUCGGUUUGGAUGGUAGGAUAAUGACAUUGGAAUGUAGCUUUGCUUCGGUGAAGUGUUAUAGACUUUGUUGAUACUGCCUAUCUAGACCGAGGACUGCGUCUUUGACUAGGAUGCUGGCGUAAUGAUCUUAAGCCGCCCGUCUUGAACACCGGACCAA